UACAGAGGGGGCAAGCGUUGUUCGGAAUUACUGGGCGUAAAGGGCGCGUAGGCGGCCUUCUAAGUCGAACGUGAAAUCCCUGGGCUCAACCCAGGAACUGCGUCCGAUACUGGAAGGCUUGAAUCCGGAAGAGGAGAGUGGAAUUCCUGGUGUAGCGGUGAAAUGCGCAGAUAUCAGGAAGAACACCCGUGGCGAAGGCGGCUCUCUGGGUCCGCCCUGACGCUGAGGCGCGAAAGCGUGGGGAGCGAACGGG
Molecule: ribosomal RNA, 253 nt
Filed under: uncultured bacterium
Lineage: Bacteria
Description: partial 16S ribosomal RNA
Rfam family: Bacterial small subunit ribosomal RNA
Source: RNAcentral